AGCAACUCUGCUGCUUCUUGCUGCCUUCUCUCGCCAAGAAAAAAACACCUCCAAAUCCAUCGCCGUCGAUGAUCCUCUCGGCCUUCCUUCUCAUCUGCUGCGCCGUCGCCACCUGGACGGUGUCCCCGGCCAAGGCACGCCAAAGCCAAAGCCCAUCAUCUGAAAUGGGAGCAGAUCAUCAUCAAGCUUAUGGCACCUUGGACCAGGUGAAGGCGGCUCUUCAGCGGGUGGGGCUCGAGUCGUCCAACCUCAUCAUCGGGGUGGAUUUCACCAAGAGCAACCAGUGGACAGGGAAGCGCUGCUUCGGCGGGAGGAGCCUGCACGACCUCGCCGCCGGCCCGAACCCGUACGAGGAGGCCAUCGGCAUCGUCGGCGACACGCUGUCGGCCUACGACGAGGACAACGCCAUCCCCUGCUUCGGCUUCGGGGACACGUCCACGCACGACCAGGGCGUGUUCAGCUUCUACGGGGACAGGCGGCCGUGCGCCGGCAUCCCGGAGGCCCUGCUGCGUUACCGGGAGAUCGCCGCCACCGUUCAGCUCUCCGGGCCGACAUCUCUGGCGCCGAUCAUAGAGGCUGCAAUGGGGAUAGUCCAGCGCUCCGGGCAUCAGUACCACAUCCUGCUGAUAAUCGCUGACGGGCAGGUGAUCAACCGCCAUUUUUGUGUUCCGAGAGGUUGCGGCGCUCAUCGCGCCAGCUCCCCGGACGAAUCAAGAUCAGAGAACUACAUGGAGGAGAGGACUCUCCAGGCCCUCAUACAGGCCAGCCAUUUCCCUCUGUCCAUCGUCCUCGUCGGGGUCGGGGACGGACCAUGGGACGACGAUCAGAUGCGGUUCCACGACGGCCGGCGCCGAUUCGAUAACUUCCAGUUUGUAGAUUUCACCAAGAUCAUGUCGGCGGAGAUGUCCCGCGCCGAGAAGGGGGAGCGGUUCGCGCUCGAGGCGCUAGAGAAGAUCCCGAGCCAGUACGCUGCGAUCAUCAGCCAGCGAAUCAGUGAUCUGGCUGCGAGGGCGCCUGCGAGGACGCCUCUUCCUCCUCCAUCCUGAGCAUCCGGUUCACCGUCGGUUUCGCUGCGCAGGCAGGUUCAUGAUAUGGUCACAUUGUUGGAGGAUGAAGUUAGCCAUUUUAGUUCCCAUCCCCUGUGUGUGCUUGUACACUUCAGAGCACCUCAAUUUCCAGCCCACAUCUCCUGUUCAUUUGUACUCUUUUAAUAAUAGCAUAUAUCUUUAUUGACAGAGUUGGCUAGUCUUCAUAUAUGUUACAGAAGAAAAUCAUAUAUUUUGCCUGUGUAGUCCACUUGAAUCAGCAAAUAUGAAUUGUGGUGGUCAUAUAAGAAAUCCAGGGUAAAGUGAUAUUUUGAAACGAGGCAAUUUUCCCAAAGAAUGAAACAUCUUCACUAUAUCCCGAGUCGGUAACUUUCUCUACAAUUACACGCCGCCAUCGAACACCCUCGUGAGUCUGCACACUACAAACAAGCACGGACAAAUUUCCCAGACAUCUACAGGAAGAACCCAAGCUAAAAAAAUCUAAUGUUCUCUUUGCUUUUUCUUUUGUCGAAACAAAGGAGCAGUCGGCCCGUGUUUCGAUCUGUAUAAACACCACGCCGCUGCUAUAUCAGGGGUUCGGAGAGCUCCAUCUCGUUGGAGGUCUCCUCUGCCUCGGCAGGCGGCAGUCGUACGUAGUUCAGCCCCAGCCACUGCCAUGGCCAGCACACGUACCUGUGGCCGCUGCGGCUGCUCGGGUCCGCCCUAUUGUCCGACUCCUCCGCCUGCCUGUUGAGCUCCUCCAGCCGCUCGCGCAGCCUUGCGGAUCUCGUGUCGGCGAGCUUUAAGGAUUUCUCUGCGGCGUCGCGGGCCGCCAUUGCGGCGGCCGCCGUCUCCUCCUUGAACUUGAGCUUGUUUUCCAGCUCCACCAUUGUUUCUCUUGCUUCCUCUAGUUCCUUGUGGAGGGACGAAAUCUGUGCAGUCAGAUGAAGGUUAGUUAUAACUCAGUUCAGCUUAUCAAGAAUCAAGGAGGCUGUUGAUGACAACGAGAAAGGACGAUUUGCUUCAUAUGAGAACAAGCCAUGAAGAUACUACACAUCCUUGUACAUUCAUAUAUCCUUCACACAGCGGCAUUAUAAGUUACCAACAUAAAGCCUGUUAAUUACAACCAGAAAGGGUACUUUGCCCUAUAUGGGAAACAAGCCAUUUCCUUGCACUGGUUAUCUACAGUUAUCAACAUCAGGCCUGUUGAUUACAAGUUAUCUACAGAAGUUUUUUAUUUCCAAAAUAAAUCAACAUUUAUGCUAACUCGCACAAGAAAGUAUCCUUCAUACAGCCACAAUAAAAGAUCAUGUUGCAGUCGCUAAAGAGUCUCGAGCGACCAUAGUUGGUCCUUCGCAAGAUUUAUAGUGAGAGAACAUUUUGAAUUUGGAACAUAGGAGAAUGGGUGUGAGUAAGUCGAAUGCACAAAUCGUGGAUUAGGUAGGAGGACAACAUCUAUCGCCGCGUUGAAUUGUAUAAUUUCUUAGCCCUCUUCUGCUAUGACAUGGAACCAAAAUAAUUGGUUGGGCAGAGAAACUAAAAUCAGGACCAUGAUUUUGAAUUGGAGUGGCAUACUUGCAUUUAUAAUUUGUGUUUUUACAAGGAGUGUUAUUCUCACAUUACAAUACCAAGUUGUGGGACUCAGCUACAUCUGCUGCCAGACACUACUGAUUGCAAAACCCUUCCUUGCACUUUAUUGCACAUCACUUAGCACAACUUAUCUAUACUGACGGGCAUAGUUGCUUAAGGCAUCAAAAUUAUUGUUUCUCAAUCGAAGCAUUUUUCUAUGGACAAUGUGGCAAUGCAAUAUCUAAAACUGGUAGUAACAACUGAAGGAUACUCUAACAUUGCUAUAACUAACUUCCAAGAUGUAACAACAAAAGACCACAUGGAAACAAUUCAUUAUACGAAACUGAAUACAACAAUGAAACCAUAAUAAAGCUGAUAUUGAACCACAAGCUACAUCAUACAAUAACAGAAGUAUUAUGUUUGUCUCACUAUGCUAAAUAAGAAUAAAACCCCUGCUACACUCAACACCAUGUGUCUGUAUCAGUAUAGCAUAAGAUAUCGUCGAUACAUAAUGAUGUUUCAGCUAAACUGCAAAGAACAAGUCAUUGUGUAACCUCUGUCAAAUGAUAUUAUGAUAACACUAAUCAAGAAUGCUACUUAGGUGUUCAAGCAUGCCUAGUACGAUCCUGUGCUUUCUUACACUUUCUGUAGUGCCUUGCUGUCAAAACACCAAACAUAUGUUUCAAAAGUGCACAUGGUAGUAUGCCAGCAUGUUCACUGUGUUUAAUUCUUAAUAUUACUCUGUUCUCCACAAGAAAUAUUUAAUAUCAGACGACUGCAAUUCUAAGUGAUUAAUUCAGUCAAGCAUUUGCUUGUCUAGUUAACUCAUGGAGUCAUGGUCGUUUGCUAACAUGUUUACCGUGCUUAAUAUUACUCUGUUCCCCAAAAGAAAUAUC
This 3490-nucleotide ribosomal RNA is filed under the name Triticum aestivum (bread wheat). Its description in RNAcentral is "partial small subunit ribosomal RNA". Lineage: Eukaryota; Viridiplantae; Streptophyta; Magnoliopsida; Poales; Poaceae. The record is from RNAcentral.